AUUGAACGCUGGCGGCAUGCUUUACACAUGCCAGUCGAACGGCAGCGCGGGCUUCGGCCUGGCGGCGAGUGGCGAACGGGUGAGUAAUGCAUCGGAACGUGCCCAGUAGUGGGGGAUAGCCCGGCGAAAGCCGGAUUAAUACCGCAUACGACCUGAGGGUGAAAGCGGGGGACCGAAAGGCCUCGCGCUAUUGGAGCGGCCGAUGUCGGAUUAGCUAGUUGGUGGGGUAAAGGCUUACCAAGGCGACGAUCCGUAGCUGGUCUGAGAGGACGACCAGCCACACUGGGACUGAGACGCGGCCCAGACUCCUACGGGAGGCAGCAGUGGGGAAUUUUGGACAAUGGGGGCAACACGGAUCCAGCCAUGCCGCGUACGGGAAGAAGGCCUUCGGGUUGUAAACCGCUUUUGUUCGGGAAGAAAUCCUCUGGGCUAAUACCCCGGGGGGAUGACGGUACCGGAAGAAUAAGCACCGGCUAACUACG
Molecule: ribosomal RNA, 482 nt
Filed under: uncultured bacterium
Lineage: Bacteria
Description: partial 16S ribosomal RNA
Rfam family: Bacterial small subunit ribosomal RNA
Source: RNAcentral